ACGGGUGAGUAACGCGUGGGCAACCUGCCCUAUACAGGGGGAUAGCAGCUGGAAACGGCUGGUAAGACCGCAUAAGUCGGUUAAAUCGCAUGAUUUGAUCGGGAAAUGAGCAAUCAGGUAUAGGAUGGGCCCGCGUCCGAUUAGCCAGUUGGCAGGGUAAAAGCCUACCAAAGCGACGAUCGGUAGCCGGACUGAGAGGUCGGACGGCCACAUUGGGACUGAGACACGGCCCAAACUCCUACGGGAGGCAGCAGUGGGGGAUAUUGCACAAUGGAGGAAACUCUGAUGCAGCGACGCCGCGUGAGUGAAGAAGUAUUUCGGUAUGUAAAGCUCUAUCAGCAGGGAAGAUGGUGACGGUA
RNAcentral lists this ribosomal RNA (359 nucleotides) under Catonella morbi. RNAcentral describes it as "bacterial SSU rRNA". It matches the Rfam family "Bacterial small subunit ribosomal RNA", at positions 102 to 477 of the family's 1533-position model. The record is from RNAcentral. Lineage: Bacteria; Bacillati; Bacillota; Clostridia; Lachnospirales; Lachnospiraceae.